CUACAGGGGUAUCUAAUCCUGUUUGCUCCCCACGCUUUCGUGCAUGAGCGUCAGUGUUAUCCCAGGGGGCUGCCUUCGCCAUUGGUGUUCCUCCACAUAUCUACGCAUUUCACUGCUACACGUGGAAUUCCACCCCCCUCUGACACACUCUAGUCCUACAGUCACAAAUGCAAUUCCCAGGUUAAGCCCGGGGAUUUCACACCUGUCUUAUAGAACCGCCUGCGCACGCUUUACGCCCAGUAAUUCCGAUUAACGCUUGCACCCUACGUAUUACCGCGGCUGCUGGCAC
RNAcentral lists this ribosomal RNA (289 nucleotides) under uncultured Burkholderiales bacterium. RNAcentral's name for it is "partial 16S ribosomal RNA". Lineage: Bacteria; Pseudomonadati; Pseudomonadota; Betaproteobacteria; Burkholderiales. The record is from RNAcentral.